Molecule: non-coding RNA, 340 nt
Organism: Lolium perenne
Lineage: Eukaryota; Viridiplantae; Streptophyta; Magnoliopsida; Poales; Poaceae
Source: RefSeq, a predicted model, not a curated record
GAGCAUAGCCAUUUCUAGUCUCGCUAAGUACGUGCCGGAGUUCGUUCCUUGGUACUUACUCUCGCCUUUUCUUUUUCUCUUCUGUUCCCUCCCUUUUGUCGGCAACCGAUGGCCCGACUUCGACAGGUACAAGAUGACGACGUUAGCAAGGUUACCCUUCCGGCUUGGCCUGGGCAGGGUUAUGGACGCCACUGGUUAUCUUCAGGACUCUUAGUCCAAUUUGUAUCUUGUCCGUACUCGGACGUAUUCGAUCUUCUGUACGAUUUGGAUCUUUGUAUUGUAUAUUUGUAUCUUGACUCAUUGGAGUCGUUGUUGUAAUAUAUGUAUCUUGUGGGCUCUA